This 1267-nucleotide ribosomal RNA is filed under the name Acinetobacter baumannii. Its description in RNAcentral is "bacterial SSU rRNA". It matches the Rfam family "Bacterial small subunit ribosomal RNA", at positions 78 to 1340 of the family's 1533-position model. Lineage: Bacteria; Pseudomonadati; Pseudomonadota; Gammaproteobacteria; Moraxellales; Moraxellaceae. The record is from RNAcentral.
GCUUGCUACUGGACCUAGCGGCGGACGGGUGAGUAAUGCUUAGGAAUCUGCCUAUUAGUGGGGGACAACAUCUCGAAAGGGAUGCUAAUACCGCAUACGUCCUACGGGAGAAAGCAGGGGAUCUUCGGACCUUGCGCUAAUAGAUGAGCCUAAGUCGGAUUAGCUAGUUGGUGGGGUAAAGGCCUACCAAGGCGACGAUCUGUAGCGGGUCUGAGAGGAUGAUCCGCCACACUGGGACUGAGACACGGCCCAGACUCCUACGGGAGGCAGCAGUGGGGAAUAUUGGACAAUGGGGGGAACCCUGAUCCAGCCAUGCCGCGUGUGUGAAGAAGGCCUUAUGGUUGUAAAGCACUUUAAGCGAGGAGGAGGCUACUUUAGUUAAUACCUAGAGAUAGUGGACGUUACUCGCAGAAUAAGCACCGGCUAACUCUGUGCCAGCAGCCGCGGUAAUACAGAGGGUGCGAGCGUUAAUCGGAUUUACUGGGCGUAAAGCGUGCGUAGGCGGCUUAUUAAGUCGGAUGUGAAAUCCCCGAGCUUAACUUGGGAAUUGCAUUCGAUACUGGUGAGCUAGAGUAUGGGAGAGGAUGGUAGAAUUCCAGGUGUAGCGGUGAAAUGCGUAGAGAUCUGGAGGAAUACCGAUGGCGAAGGCAGCCAUCUGGCCUAAUACUGACGCUGAGGUACGAAAGCAUGGGGAGCAAACAGGAUUAGAUACCCUGGUAGUCCAUGCCGUAAACGAUGUCUACUAGCCGUUGGGGCCUUUGAGGCUUUAGUGGCGCAGCUAACGCGAUAAGUAGACCGCCUGGGGAGUACGGUCGCAAGACUAAAACUCAAAUGAAUUGACGGGGGCCCGCACAAGCGGUGGAGCAUGUGGUUUAAUUCGAUGCAACGCGAAGAACCUUACCUGGCCUUGACAUACUAGAAACUUUCCAGAGAUGGAUUGGUGCCUUCGGGAAUCUAGAUACAGGUGCUGCAUGGCUGUCGUCAGCUCGUGUCGUGAGAUGUUGGGUUAAGUCCCGCAACGAGCGCAACCCUUUUCCUUACUUGCCAGCAUUUCGGAUGGGAACUUUAAGGAUACUGCCAGUGACAAACUGGAGGAAGGCGGGGACGACGUCAAGUCAUCAUGGCCCUUACGGCCAGGGCUACACACGUGCUACAAUGGUCGGUACAAAGGGUUGCUACACAGCGAUGUGAUGCUAAUCUCAAAAAGCCGAUCGUAGUCCGGAUUGGAGUCUGCAACUCGACUCCAUGAAGUCGGAAAUCGCUAGUA